GAUGAACGCUGGCGGCGUGCUUAACACAUGCAAGUCGAACGAGAAAUGGAGACGGAAACCUUCGGGCGGAAGGCUUCAUUUCGAGUGGCGGACGGGUGAGUAACGCGUGGGUAACCUGCCUCAUACAGGGGGAUAACAGUUGGAAACGACUGUUAAUACCGCAUAAGACCACAGCACCGCAUGGUGCGGGGGUAAAAACUCCGGUGGUAUGAGAUGGACCCGCGUUCGAUUAGCCAGUUGGCGGGGUAACGGCCCACCAAAGCGACGAUCGAUAGCCGAUCUGAGAGGAUGACCGGCCACAGUGGGACUGAGACACGGCCCAAACUCCUACGGGAGGCAGCAGUGGGGAAUAUUGCACAAUGGGGGAAACACUGAUGCAGCGACGCCGCGUGAGUGAAGAAGUACUUCGGUAUGUAAAGCUCUAUCAGCAGGGAAGAAAAUGACGGUACCUGAGUAAGAAGCCCCGGCUAACUACGUG
RNAcentral lists this ribosomal RNA (478 nucleotides) under uncultured bacterium. RNAcentral describes it as "partial 16S ribosomal RNA". It matches the Rfam family "Bacterial small subunit ribosomal RNA", at positions 28 to 507 of the family's 1533-position model. The record is from RNAcentral.